RNAcentral lists this long non-coding RNA (308 nucleotides) under Gallus gallus (chicken). Lineage: Eukaryota; Metazoa; Chordata; Aves; Galliformes; Phasianidae. The record is from RNAcentral.
GUGGGGGAGGAGGACCCCAAAAUGUCCCAAAUUUACCCCAAAAUGCACCAAAAUGUCCCAAAUUUGACCCCAAAUGCCGCAAAUUUGACCCAAAAAUGACCCAAAAUGGCAGAAAUUUGACCCAAAAUGGCAGAAAUUUCACCCAAAUUUGGCCGCCAUUUUUGGGUCUCUUCCAUUGACCCCAAUGGGGAUUGGAGGGACCCCAAAGUUGUAUUGGGGGUGGAGGACCCCAAAAUGUCCCAAAUUUACCCCAAAAUGUCCCAAAUUUGACCCCAAAUGUCCCAAAUUUGACCCAAAUUGACCAAAAA